This 128-nucleotide non-coding RNA is filed under the name Homo sapiens (human). RNAcentral's name for it is "signal recognition particle RNA S domain from Homo sapiens (PDB 1L9A, chain B)". It matches the Rfam family "Metazoan signal recognition particle RNA", at positions 113 to 236 of the family's 299-position model. From Rfam's summary of the family: The signal recognition particle (SRP) is a universally conserved ribonucleoprotein. It is involved in the co-translational targeting of proteins to membranes. The eukaryotic SRP consists of a 300-nucleotide 7S RNA and six proteins: SRPs 72, 68, 54, 19, 14, and 9. Lineage: Eukaryota; Metazoa; Chordata; Mammalia; Primates; Hominidae. RNAcentral also lists the same sequence under 2 other names. The record is from RNAcentral.
GACACUAAGUUCGGCAUCAAUAUGGUGACCUCCCGGGAGCGGGGGACCACCAGGUUGCCUAAGGAGGGGUGAACCGGCCCAGGUCGGAAACGGAGCAGGUCAAAACUCCCGUGCUGAUCAGUAGUGUC